Molecule: ribosomal RNA, 513 nt
Filed under: uncultured bacterium
Lineage: Bacteria
Description: partial 16S ribosomal RNA
Rfam family: Bacterial small subunit ribosomal RNA
Source: RNAcentral
GAUGAACGCUGGCGGCGUGCCUAAUACAUGCAAGUCGAGCGAACAGACGAGGAGCUUGCUCCUCUGACGUUAGCGGCGGACGGGUGAGUAACACGUGGAUAACCUACCUAUAAGACUGGGAUAACUUCGGGAAACCGGAGCUAAUACCGGAUAACAUGUUGAACCGUAUGGUUCAACAGUGAAAGACGGUCUUGCUGUCACUUAUAGAUGGAUCCGCGCCGCAUUAGCUAGUUGGUAAGGUAACGGCUUACCAAGGCAACGAUGCGUAGCCGGACUGAGAGGGUAGUCUGCCACACUGGAACUGAGACCCGGUCCAGACUCCUACGGGAGUCAGCAGUAGGGAAUCUUCCGCAAUGGGCGAAAGCCUGACGGAGCAACGCCGCGUGAGUGAAGAAGGUCUUCGGAUCGUAAAACUCUGUUAUUAGGGAAGAACAAAUGUGUAAGUAACUAUGCACGUCUUGACGGUACCUAAUCAGAAAGCCACGGCUAACUACGUGCCAGCCGCCGCAGUAA